GCGUGGCUUGUGGGUAAAAUGGGCGUGGUUUGCUCGGUGGGCGUGGCCUGAGUGGGCGUGUCCCGCAGGAGGAAGAGGAGGAGGAGGAAGAGGAGGAGCGAGGCCAAGGGGGCGGAGCCAAAGCCCCGGGGUUGGGGGGAGGGCGGCGCUACGUCCCGCCCCGGCUGGUGCCCGUCAGCUGCGAUCCGGCUCCGGAUCCCGAAUCCCGAUCCCGCUCCCGGCUCCGGCUCCGGGCUUUGAGCUCGGCCGCGCUCCGGGAGCUGCGCCAGGAGUUGGGGGAGGGGCCCCUGGAGGAGGGGGCGGGGCUGCAGCCCCCGCAGCGCCAGGAGAUCCAGAGGCGGCGCUGGGAGGAGUCGAUG
RNAcentral lists this long non-coding RNA (359 nucleotides) under Cyanistes caeruleus (blue tit). RNAcentral describes it as "lncRNA (ENSCCEG00000018586.1)". The record is from RNAcentral. Lineage: Eukaryota; Metazoa; Chordata; Aves; Passeriformes; Paridae.